RNAcentral lists this ribosomal RNA (677 nucleotides) under uncultured bacterium. Its description in RNAcentral is "bacterial SSU rRNA". It matches the Rfam family "Bacterial small subunit ribosomal RNA", at positions 759 to 1436 of the family's 1533-position model. The record is from RNAcentral.
GCUAGGGGAGCAAACAGGAUUAGAUACCCUGGUAGUCCUAGCCGUAAACGUUGGGUGCUAGGUGUGGGCGGAUAUCANCNNNGUCCGUGCCGAAGCUAACGCAUUAAGCACCCCGCCUGGGGAGUACGGCCGCAAGGCUAAAACUCAAAGGAAUUGACGGGGCCCCGCACAAGCGGCGGAGCAUGUUGCUUAAUUCGAUGCGACGCGAAGAACCUUACCUGGGCUUGACAUGCAGGGUGAAACCCGUGAAAGCGGGCGCUCUUCGGAGCCUGCACAGGUGGUGCAUGGCUGUCGUCAGCUCGUGCCGUGAGGUGUUGCCUUAAGUGGCGCAACGAGCGCAACCCCUGUCCUUAGUUGUCAGCGAGUCAUGUCGGGAACUCUAGGGAGACUGCCGGUGCCAAACCGGAGGAAGGUGGGGAUGACGUCAAGUCAUCAUGCCCCUUACGUCCAGGGCUGCAAACAUGCUACAAUGCUCGGUACAAAGGGCUGCGAUCCUGCAAGGGGGAGCGAAUCCCAGAAAGCCGGGCUCAGUUCGGAUCGGGGUCUGCAACUCGACCCCGUGAAGUUGGAGUCGCUAGUAAUCGCAGGUCAGCACUGCUGCGGUGAAUACGUUCCCGGGGCUUGUACACACCGCCCGUCACACCACGAAAGUGGGCAACACCCGAAGCCGGUGGCCU